CUAUACAUGCAGUCGAGCGAACAGACGAGGAGCUUGCUCCUUUGACGUUAGCGGCGGACGGGUGAGUAACACGUAGGUAACCUACCUAUAAGACUGGGAUAACUUCGGGAAACCGGAGCUAAUACCGGAUAAUAUUUCGAACCGCAUGGUUCGAUAGUGAAAGAUGGCUUUGCUAUCACUUAUAGAUGGACCUGCGCCGUAUUAGCUAGUUGGUAAGGUAACGGCUUACCAAGGCAACGAUACGUAGCCGACCUGAGAGGGUGAUCGGCCACACUGGAACUGAGACACGGUCCAGACUCCUACGGGAGGCAGCAGUAGGGAAUCUUCCGCAAUGGGCGAAAGCCUGACGGAGCAACGCCGCGUGAGUGAUGAAGGUCUUCGGAUCGUAAAACUCUGUUAUUAGGGAAGAACAAACGUGUAAGUAACUGUGCACGUCUUGACGGUACCUAAUCAGAAAGCCACGGCUAACUACGUGCCAGCAGCGCCGGUAAUAA
This 494-nucleotide ribosomal RNA is filed under the name Staphylococcus hominis subsp. novobiosepticus. RNAcentral describes it as "bacterial SSU rRNA". It matches the Rfam family "Bacterial small subunit ribosomal RNA", at positions 49 to 526 of the family's 1533-position model. Lineage: Bacteria; Bacillati; Bacillota; Bacilli; Caryophanales; Staphylococcaceae. The record is from RNAcentral.